Molecule: long non-coding RNA, 198 nt
Organism: Xenia sp. Carnegie-2017
Lineage: Eukaryota; Metazoa; Cnidaria; Anthozoa; Malacalcyonacea; Xeniidae
Exons: 2
Source: RefSeq, a predicted model, not a curated record
GCAUCGUAAGCAAUCAUUGGUGCAUCAUGACCACUGGAUCCACCCCAACCUGCAUAACUGACAGAUUUAUAAAAAGCAUCACGUUCAGGUCACAUUAUGAUGACCCUAUUUACAUAAUAGCGGCAUUUUGAUAUGGAUCAUGGAUUGAAUGGCUGUAGUAGUGAAGAUAUUAAAGCAAAACAGCAAUGGCAAUUCAAA